GACGAACGCUGGCGGCGUGCUUAACACAUGCAAGUCGAACGGAAAGGCCCUGCUUUUGUGGGGUGCUCGAGUGGCGAACGGGUGAGUAACACGUGAGUAACCUGCCCUUGACUUUGGGAUAACUUCAGGAAACUGGGGCUAAUACCGGAUAGGAGCUCCUGCUGCAUGGUGGGGGUUGGAAAGUUUCGGCGGUUGGGGAUGGACUCGCGGCUUAUCAGCUUGUUGGUGGGGUAGUGGCUUACCAAGGCUUUGACGGGUAGCCGGCCUGAGAGGGGUACCGGCCACAUUGGGCCUGAGAUACGGCCCAGACUCCUACGGGAGGCAGCAGUGGGGAAUAUUGCACAAUGGGCGGAAGCCUGAUGCAGCAACGCCGCGUGCGGGAUGACGGCCUUCGGGUUGUAAACCGCUUUCGCCUGUGACGAAGCGUGAGUGACGGUAAUGGGUAAAGAAGCACCGGCUAACUACGUG
Molecule: ribosomal RNA, 468 nt
Filed under: uncultured bacterium
Lineage: Bacteria
Description: partial 16S ribosomal RNA
Rfam family: Bacterial small subunit ribosomal RNA
Source: RNAcentral